CGUCAUGGUGGCCGUGUGCGGGCAGACCUCGGUCUGGCCGGGUUUACCUUGUGGCCCGGAUUUCUCACCCCGUACAUGGCUGCCACCUUG
Molecule: non-coding RNA, 90 nt
Filed under: Pseudomonas soli
Lineage: Bacteria; Pseudomonadati; Pseudomonadota; Gammaproteobacteria; Pseudomonadales; Pseudomonadaceae
Source: RNAcentral